This is a long non-coding RNA of Cavia porcellus (domestic guinea pig), 2033 nucleotides long. RefSeq lists it as uncharacterized. The record is from RefSeq and is a predicted model, not a curated record. The transcript is spliced from 2 exons. Lineage: Eukaryota; Metazoa; Chordata; Mammalia; Rodentia; Caviidae.
GCGCCCCGGACGCGGAAGGCGACAGCGCGGAGCCUCGUGUGGCGCAGGCGACAGCGUCCACCUGGCGCUGGACACAGCAGUGACCUCCUCCGCCACGGGCGGGCGGGCGCUGGCUUCCGUGCGCUCUCUGCUCGGGGUUUCAGACUAUGGAAAUGAUAGCUGGAGCUGAGGCAGCCAUCUUAGACCAUGAAGUCCAGAAGGACAGUGAACUGAAGCUUAUUUAGUGCACAAGACCUUUCCAGCCCCGUUUGCCCUGCAGAAUGUACUCUCUUGUGACGCUGAGCUCCAGGCAGCCCUCCCUGUGCUGCCCUUCUGUACAGAUCCCCCCACAGACAGUCACAGGAGUGUGCUCUCCCGUCUCUCUCUACCGAAUGCAUGACAGCCCUCUUGGACCGUUCUCAUCUGACAAGUUCAGGCCAGAAAGGUGUGAGACAGAGAAGCCACCGUUACCCUGCUUUACAUUUGGUCUUAGUCUGACUUUUGGAGCAACUAUGGCAGAGCAGCUCAUUAGCAGGGCCCCUGGUCACACGGCCAUGGAGGUUGCUAAGGACAGAGCCGUUUCCAGGGUGAGACUUGUCCUGACGUCCAGCGCUGUCCCUGUGCUUGGUCCUGCAUGGCACAGGGCUGGUGGCCGUGGGCUGACCUCUGAGGAGUCCCUUCCCUCUGCAGCUGCCCUCCCAGGGCCUGGCUCUCAGGUGCCAUCCACAUGUGCUUCUCGGGUGAGUCAGAGGCCUCCUGGCCGCGCCCCAGGACGGGCAGAAGGGGGCUCCUGCCUACGGUCCUAGCAUCCAGCAAUGCACGUCAUCGGAACACUCUGAGACACCUGCCUGGUGGACACCGGGCCCUGUGUCCCUCAGACUGGGUCUCAAGUCCGUCCCUUUGGCCCAGGGAUACAGCUCAGCAGCACAAGCAGCUGCCUGGCAAGUGUGAAAUUGUGAGUUCGAUUCCUGGUACGGGGUGGUGGGGGUCUAUUCCUUAUUUGUCUUUGCCGCGGGACCCACGGCAAUAGCUUCUCCUGUGGGGCCUCAGUUUCCUGACCUGGGAAGGAGAGCAGCGUGAUAUCCCCCCCAAGGGGCGUGGAGAUGGGGGUCAGGUGACAGGAGCACAGGACACAGCCAGUGUCCUGCACAGGGCUGAGUGGGGGUCUCCUGCGCCUGUGCGGCCGUCACCGUCCCCUCCCCCACCACGUAACAGUGAAACGCCACCGGUUGUGGCUCAGAAACGGCAGAAGCUGUUCAGGAUCACGAGGCCGAGGCCGAGAGGGCCGGGCUGAGACCUCCGCAGGGCCGGAGUCUGGCGAUUGCCUCUGCAGGCCCUGUCUCCUGGCGCUGUGUGGGUGGAGGGCUGAGCCGGCUCUGCAGGGUCUCUACCAGGGCAUCGCCCAUUUUUAUAGAACUAGAUAUCUUAUUUUAGAUAAAAUAGUAUAUAUACUCUGCUAGAGAACAUAAUGUAACAAUAUUUGCUCAAGUAAUAAAAGGGUUAAGGAAUGAUUCCAGUUGUAAUCGAAGGAAUGAAAGAUAAAUAUUUUCCAAAUAAAGCUCUCAAAUAUUUACAUAAUGGAAUACUGAAUACAUGACUUCCAGUUAACAUGUGUUUGUGUCAGUGCCAAAAAGCCACAACCAAUUUUAUUUUUUAGACAGAGGUCACUGUGUAGCUCAAACUGGCCUUGAACUCACAGCAACCCUGCUGCCUCAGCCUCUUGCGCACAGGGAUUACAGGCAUACUCCUCCACACUCGGCCAACAAAUCUAAUAAACAAAUGAUAGAUUUCUAGAUGAGUUUUUCAUGCGCAAUGUUAGUUCAGAAUGAUGCAAAAGUCUUAAAAACAGAGUCUAGGGGCUGGGGAUUUAGCUCAGUGGCACAAGCACCUGCCUUGGAAUCCGGCAGUCGUGACCCUGAUGUCCCCGAGCAGAGCUACAGAGCUAAGGAGGGAAAAGCGAUGCAGAAGCCGCCAAGGCAGAGAGAGCCAGGCGCGAAAAGCCCGCCCUUGCCGCAUUUGAGACUUUUGUUUUUAAAGCGCUCAGAUUCCUGCAA